This is a long non-coding RNA of Pristis pectinata (smalltooth sawfish), 677 nucleotides long. RefSeq lists it as uncharacterized. Lineage: Eukaryota; Metazoa; Chordata; Chondrichthyes; Rhinopristiformes; Pristidae. The transcript is spliced from 3 exons. The record is from RefSeq and is a predicted model, not a curated record.
CUCAGUUACACACGGAGUGGGACGUGAAAUAAGUUUCGGGUUGUUCUGCACUAGUCUCUUAAAACUCCAGACGCCACCUCUUCGCACACACAGGAGGUUCCGAGUGUACGGCCAGCGCGUCUUUUAUACUCUCCCUUCAACAGCGCUUGCGGUGUCUACUGGUCAAAGAAACAUAUCUGUGGAGACAUCAUACUCCCUCUCCGGUGAUACUCAGACGUGAAAGUAACCUCAGAAGAGAUGUUCGGCAAUUGGGACAGAUAGAACCCCAAUGAUGUGCUGCCUGGAGCUGUGAAUGGCUUCUAUGGCCACGUCCAGAUUUCCAGCAUCUGCAGUUUUCUUUUAAGUUUCCUAAAGGAGGAAGUAACGCCGCUAAUGAGAUGGCAGAAAGAGGGGAUAGGAGGAACGUUGGAAGGCUGCGGGAGUUCUGGAGAUAGGAUAGCAUGAGGCUACUUGAUGCUAUGAGCAUGAGCUGGGGAAACUGAUACUGCAGCAUGUGCAUCAAAAGCAAAACAACAUAAGGCUGGUCCUUCAACAUGGACGACUCAUCUGUAAUGCUGAUGGUUAGAUUACUAGGAUUAGAGCCAAUCAAAGUGAGGUCUCGUACAUCUGGUCAAUGUCCAGUAAUAUGUGUUGCAACAGACACUUGAUGAGGGCAGAAUUGCUUAGCCUACUGACAC